UACGGAGGAUGCAAGCGUUAUCCGGAUUCAUUGGGUUUAAAGGGUGCGUAGGCGGGCUAUUAAGUCAGUGGUGAAAUCCUGCAGCUUAACUGCAGAACUGCCGUUGAUACUGAUAGUCUUGAGUUUGGUUAAGGUAGGCGGAAUGUGUAAUGUAGCGGUGAAAUGCUUAGAUAUUACACAGAACACCAAUUGCGUAGGCAGCUUACUGAGCCGACACUGACGCUGAGGCACGAAAGCGUGGGGAGCAAACAGGA
This 254-nucleotide ribosomal RNA is filed under the name uncultured prokaryote. RNAcentral describes it as "partial 16S ribosomal RNA". It matches the Rfam family "Bacterial small subunit ribosomal RNA", at positions 524 to 777 of the family's 1533-position model. The record is from RNAcentral.